UAUACGAUUCUACCCAAGCUAACAUUAUCCUUCCAAACCCUAAGCCCAAACAUCAGCGAAAUCGAAGAUCGAUCGAAUUCAGCGAGGUCCAUGUCGGUAAUAUCGCGGAGGGCAUUUGCUUCCGAUGACGCAAGAUAUUUCUCCAAGGGUUUAAGAGAUCAAAACGAAAAGCACACAGGAUGGACGGGAGGGGAGCCAAGGGUGUUGGUGUUCGAAAGGCGCAAGCGAGAACAGGGUGAGGUAGCCAGACCCCCGCCAUCUUCGCUUCCGUCCUCAUCCUUGGCCCAUAAACCCUAAACCUCGGGUGCAGGUAGAGGUGCCCAGUCCAAUAAACGCGUUAAUUCUCUCUGGAUGUGCCCGCUGCCGUUGGAAAACGCCGUCGUCGCUUCGUCAGAGCUCUGAUACCUUCGCUUCUCUUGUCUUUUCCGGCUAUUUGGGUUCGGUUUCGGCCGUUUCGAUGCUGAAUGGGUUUGAUUUUGGGUGUGGGUUGGAUUCUUGAAGUGUUAUCUCGAGUGGUGCGUUUGGUUUGGGAUUUUCUUUUUCCAGUGGUUAGACAAUCAAUUUUUUUUUGAACUGAUGUUCAUGUUUCGUAGGAAACAGAAUGCGUAUCGAUGUUCUUUCGUCGGCGUAUUAAUGCACUUUUGAUUAUUGAUCUUUAAUAUUCGGUAGAAUUCCUUGGUGAUGGUUAUUUUUAGAUGUCAUGCUUGUGAUAGGGGCGAAAAUAAUCAUGGCUACACACGUGUGCGACUACAUGGACAUGACCCAUGGAAUUCUUUGUUUUGGAUUUUGCCUGUGGGUCGCUCAAGAAUGUAUCUAUAAAUAUUUUAUUUAGCAUAGCAAGAAGGCCAAAAUUUCCUUUUUUUUUCGUUCUGGAAAUUCUCUGAUGCCUGCUGUUGCUUUUGGUUUUUGUGUUUUCUUGCAAGUAAGUUUCAUUUCUGUCCAUCAAGGAGAAGAUUCGAGGGCACAUGGGUUUCCUAGUAUUUCUGAUGCCCACACUUUUUGUUUCUUUAAGUGCGUAGUCUUUUUGGUCCUCACUAAGAAAGUGACUAAGCUGCUGACUAGUUCCUGAAAUGAAUACCGGCUUGAUUAGAUGUUUUUGCUUUCGAAUAUCAUCCAUCUAUAUAAUGUUUGCACUGUCUUAAUGUUCUAUGGAAAUCUGUUAGGAACUAAAUUCUGGCUGAUCACAACAAGAUGUAUUUGCUUGAAUAUCUUGCCAAUUAGCUGCUUUUCAUUGUUUGUAUGCUUUGUCAGAGAGGGUAUGCAUUCAAGUACGGUCUCUAAUUAUUUUCACAUCCCAACCUCUGUUUAGUACGAUUCUUCUCUUGGUCACUUCUAGGUUGAUGGGUGCUGAUGAUGUUGAUGACCAAAAAGACAAUGGAGCAAAGAGAGAAAACAACAUGCCGAC
RNAcentral lists this long non-coding RNA (1405 nucleotides) under Musa acuminata (dwarf banana). RNAcentral's name for it is "long non-coding RNA (MACU_LNC003351)". The record is from RNAcentral. Lineage: Eukaryota; Viridiplantae; Streptophyta; Magnoliopsida; Zingiberales; Musaceae.